CCUCACGCAACACCGACAUUACUACCGACUGAGAACACACAGCACUUUUCAGCCAGCCGAUUACUCUUAUGAAAUUCUAUUUCUCUCUUCCUCGUACUUUAUCAUUCACCACUGCAACACCCUGAAUCCUGUGCCUACCAGAAGGGGAGCCUCAUCAUUGUCUUGCUUCAGUUAGGGAACUCUCUGUACCUUGCUUAGAUUUAUUAGAGACUUCUAUUGAGAAUCUCAACCUAAUGUUGUUUGUUGAUGGAUCACACCUCAGAAGUGAAACUGGAGAUUAUCAAACAGGAUAGGAUAUGCUCUCCUUUCGAAUCGAGUCCUCUACCUGAGGUAACAUCAGCCCAGAUGGCAGAAGUCGUUGAGCUUACUAGAGCUUGUCAACUAGCCAACGACCAGAGAGGAAACAGAUAUACAGAUGGCAAGUAAGCUCUUGGAGGAGUGCAUGACUUUGAGAUGCUUUUCUCACCUCUGCUGUAACCACCAUAAAAACGGACAGGAAGUUAAGGAACUUUUAGAUGUCCUCUUCCUUGCUAAAGCGGUGGCUAUUAUAGAGGUUGAGCCCACGUGAAAAGAGAUAAUAUGAAAGCUACAGCAAAUGCUCUAACAGGUCCUUAUGCCAAACAAGCUGCUUUAACCAAAGCUAGGAUCCUAUCUAAAUCCUCAAAGGAUAUAUUGCUGGGGGGAUUCAAAGAGGCCAUUAUAAAAUAUCAACGCAACAAAUACCGACAACAGACAACAAAAGCCGCCAUGUGCUUUUACAGGAAGCACAUGGGAAACAAAAUGACAUAGGAGGUUGAAAAUAAAGGGAUGAAAAACCAUAUGAAGCAAGUAAUAAAAGAAGGUUAAUUGCUAAUAUAUGACGAAGUAAUAUUCUACUACAUCAAAAGGCAAAAAGAAGAAAUAGAAAUAUUUUAUACUUAUUAAAGAAAAAUCAACUACAAACCUAUCUCCUUCAUGAGUAGUCCUACCCUGGUGGGGUGUAGGCUCAUUUCUGAGAAUGUUUUGCUCCAUGUCUGCGUCCUGCUUGGCUUUGGGUCUCUUCGCUUGGCAUUGGGUCUUCCCAGAAAAAAAUCUCUCUUGUGCUUCUCUUGUGUGUAUGUCUCUGUUAUUUUUUCUUGACACUUGUUAGCGUGGUGGUGAGAGAUGCAGGGACAAAGAUGUUUUCUGAUCCUAGGACUGGGCCUCAGUCCUGGCCAAUCCCUGUGCACCUGGCGCUGGGGGCGUGGCCUCACAAAUGGUCUUGCCCCUCCUCCAGACCUAGUGCUGGGCUUUGCUCUAGUCCUGCCCUUCUUCCAGGGGUAGAGCCUUUUUUUUUUCUCAGCUGAUUGCUUCAGCCCCCUCCAGUACAGUUUGUGUUGCUCUUCCUCCUGAAGAUUCAGGCUUUUGCUUCUUAGGGGAGAUAGGUCUUGGUGGAGUUUUAGCAGGGGCUGCCAUUCCCCUCCCCCAGCCAGCCCUCAGCUGAGCACCUGGUGGGGUUCCUGAGAGAAACACACCUGUAAGAGUUUGCAGAACUCCUCUGUGUCUGGGAUUCAUGUUCUUCACAUAGCCCCCACGCAGCCUUUAGGAAUUCCUUGAAAGCUGCUGUCUGAAUCUCCUGUGGACUUCCGUGGUGUCUGGUAGUCCGCCCCAGGUGCUUCAGGAAUACAAAGAUGAGGCAAAGGCCCUGCCAUCAAAGAGCUCACGGUUUGCAGAAAGAGAAAGGCAAAGGCAGCUAUAAUCCCAAGGGAAAGUUGUAUGGUCCACUAAGUUCUACCACGAAACCUCUCAGAAGUCCAGGAUGCCGAUGACCCAGAGAAGCAUGGGCUCUCUCGGAUGACUGCAGUCUCUGUGGGGUCUUCUCUCCUUCAUGCUGGCUCAACGUCUCAAGUCUUCCAUGUUGACCACUCACCUGACUGACUUUAUUCCAGCCUUGAAGUACAAAGGAGCCACAUCUGGGUUACAACUGAACCGCUGGUCUCGUCCUGCUCCAGCCAGCACAACCUGGCUGCACUUUUAUUGACCUCAUUGGGCCCUGAAUGCUGAAAGUCUGUUCAGUGGUCAAGUGUUUCUAUAAUAUUAAUACUUUAACAUUCUUCAUUGGGUUUAUGUUACCUCCAAACCACCCUCAUAAAUACAACUAGAUCUGGACAAUGGAGACAUAGGUAUUCAGGUGAUUAUUCCUAUACAUACUCAAUUUCUCCUGUCUACACUCCCAUUAAACAGUACCAUGUGCCAGAAAAAGAACCAGUCCAUUGUUCUCUCACUGCUAAAGUAUUCUGCCUCCUUCUGAACACCCUCAUGAAAGUCUCCGGUCAUAUUUACAAUUUUCCACAAGUGUAUCAAAAUAGAUGGAAGUAACCUGCUCCUCCUGCCUCCUUGAGUCAUGCCCAGGACUGAGUUUAACUAGGUGAUUUAGGGGUGUUAGACAUUCGUGCUGGGAAAAUAACUGCUGAUUUGGUUUAAAGGGUCAUUGAGCAAGGCUAACACACUGCCUGAACCCCAGCGUCAUCUGCUUCCACAUCCCCAAAAUACUAUGCUCCAGUUAGAUGGAAUGUAUUUGUUUCUACAGCGUGGCCAGGAUCUCUCUCACUUCCAAGUUUUUGCAAAUGCUGUUCCCCCUCUCCUGUUCAACCCUCCCGUCUCUUGUUGCCUUGCAAACUCCCACUCAUCCUCCCACACCGCCUAAACUGGGUCCCCUAGGAUUUAUCACGUGUUGCUACUGCUUAUUCGUCUUUCCUAGGAGACCUAAAUUCCUAAGGGCCUCAUCCUGUGCCUGUCUUGCUCAGCAUC
Molecule: long non-coding RNA, 2769 nt
Organism: Equus asinus (donkey)
Lineage: Eukaryota; Metazoa; Chordata; Mammalia; Perissodactyla; Equidae
Source: Ensembl